This 253-nucleotide ribosomal RNA is filed under the name uncultured bacterium. RNAcentral describes it as "partial 16S ribosomal RNA". It matches the Rfam family "Bacterial small subunit ribosomal RNA", at positions 524 to 776 of the family's 1533-position model. The record is from RNAcentral.
UACGGAGGGUGCAAGCGUUGUCCGGAAUCACUGGGCGUAAAGGGCGCGUAGGCGGCUCGGUAAGUAGGGGGUGAAAUCCUGCGGCUUAACCGCAGGGCUGCCUUCUAAACUGUCGAGCUUGAGCACGGUAGAGGCAGAUGGAAUUCCCGGUGUAGCGGUGGAAUGCGUAGAUAUCUGGAGGAACACCGGUGGCGAAGGCGGCAUCCUGGACCGACACUGACGCUGAGGAGCGAAAGCCAGGGGAGCAAACGGG